AUUAGUACCCCUCCGUCCCAAAAUAAGUGCAGCCAUGAUUUUCCGCGUCCAACUUUGAUCAUUCGUCUUAUUUGAAAAAAAAAUAAAAACAUAAGUCACAAGUAAAGUACUAUUCAUAUUUUAUCAUCUUAUAACAACAAAAAUGCUAAUUAUAAAAAAAUUUCAAAUAAGACGGACGAUUAAAGUUGGGUGCAGAAACUCAUGGCUGCACUUAUUUUGGGACGGAGGUA
Molecule: microRNA precursor, 230 nt
Filed under: Oryza sativa (Asian cultivated rice)
Lineage: Eukaryota; Viridiplantae; Streptophyta; Magnoliopsida; Poales; Poaceae
Description: partial microRNA MIR433a-40 precursor
Rfam family: MIR812 microRNA precursor family (bases 22-216)
Source: RNAcentral